This 430-nucleotide ribosomal RNA is filed under the name uncultured bacterium. RNAcentral's name for it is "bacterial SSU rRNA". It matches the Rfam family "Bacterial small subunit ribosomal RNA", at positions 354 to 776 of the family's 1533-position model. The record is from RNAcentral.
GUGGGGAAUAUUGGACAAUGGGGGCAACCCUGAUCCAGCAAUGCCGCGUGUGUGAAGAAGGCCUUCGGGUUGUAAAGCACUUUCAGUAGGGAAGAAAAUCCCAAGCUUAAUACGCUUGGGCCUUGACGUUACCUACAGAAGAAGCACUGGCUAACUCUGUGCCAGCAGCCGCGGUAAUACAGAGAGUGCGAGCGUUAAUCGGAAUUACUGGGCGUAAAGCGCGCGUAGGUGGAUACUUAAGUCGGAUGUGAAAGCCCUGGGCUUAACCUGGGAACUGCAUUCGAAACUGGGUAUCUAGAGUAUAGUAGAGGGAAGUGGAAUUUCCGGUGUAGCGGUGAAAUGCGUAGAUAUCGGAAGGAACAUCAGUGGCGAUGGCGGCUUCCUGGACUAAUACUGACACUGAGGUGCGAAAGCGUGGGGAGCAAACAGG